This is a long non-coding RNA of Cercocebus atys (sooty mangabey), 1239 nucleotides long. RefSeq lists it as uncharacterized. The record is from RefSeq and is a predicted model, not a curated record. NCBI's taxonomy places the organism in Eukaryota, Metazoa, Chordata, Mammalia, Primates, Cercopithecidae. The transcript has 2 exons.
UCCACCGAGGAUACAUGACUUGUUUGUUUGUGGUUGGCUGUGGCUUUGACUUUCCCCACCAUGCUGUUUGCCUCGGUUAAUGACCAGCCGGAAAUGCCCUGCCUCCUGUUUGGCUGAUGAAAACACUGACCUUUCCAGGAAUGACUCCAAACCAGGCAUCUGUGGACAACUUCCCUCAUCCCUUUCAUUGCUCGCCACCACGCUGCAUUCCCCAAAAAGGAAGUAGCUAUUUUAAGCAAGGGAAAAUGAGAUGGUGAGACUUUCCCCAAAAGUAGGCUUGUGCCUGAUGCAGGGUGGAGGAGCUCCAUGCCCUGUGGAAGGAAGACACAGAGUCAUCCAUAGACGUUACCCGUGGGUCCAGUCCAUCCAUCGGUGACUUAUGGGCAAAAGGGAAGGAAGGGAAGGAAGAAGAUUGAUGAACAGCGUUCUUUGCUAUUAGGCAGAACUGGCCCAAUGGGUGGCACAGAGGGGCGGAGACCAACUCCACAAAAAAAAUUACUUCUGCAAGUAGUGAGCGUCCUGUCGCAGAGGUUAUGCGAGCAGAGACAGGAUGAGGGGACUGUUUCUAUUUACACUCUGCUAGGAGGAGUAGAAGUGGACCCUGACCUUGAGGAGCCUAAAAUUUUUCUGCAGAGGCAAGUGGCACCUGAUGCGGCAAGUGAAUAUCAAGGCCUGCCUUGCCUCACAGGGCAGCUGGGGACCAACCCAAACAAAUCCAGCAUGCGGAGGAAGCAGAGACCUGAGGAUGGGCUGAAGCCUGUGUGCAGGACUUUCUAUCACUUGCAGAGUCCUGGCUGCUACACUGAGGAGCACUGAGUCUCACUGACAGAGUUUGUCAGCCUUGCAUCCCAUCUGCUCCCUGUCGGUCCUGUGGAGAUGCUGGUCAACCUACCCCCUGGCUUUGGGGGCAUGUGACCCAUGUCUGCUCAACUGUGGUGCCCCAUUUCCCUGCCUACAGUUGUUGGUCCAAGAGGAGGCUCUCUCUUACUCUGAAAUCAUGAGCUGAGGGUUUACCGUGUGUGCCUGAAGCUAUCAGACAAUGAAGAAAGAAGACAGAGAAAGAGAGAGAUUUGAGUACCUGGGUCCAGCUAUGACUGAAGCUAGCAAGAUACCCAUCUUUGUUCUCUGAAGUUAUGUAAGAAAGUAAACUCCCUAUUUGGAAUUUUCCUUGUUUACUUGUGCUUAAGUUAACUUGAGCUGGAAUUUCAUCAUCACAAUUAAAAACAUCCUAACAACUUA